GACGAACGCUGGCGGCGUGCUUAACACAUGCAAGUCGAACGGAAAGGCCCUGCUUUUGUGGGGUGCUCGAGUGGCGAACGGGUGAGUAACACGUGAGUAACCUGCCCUUGACUUUGGGAUAACUUCAGGAAACUGGGGCUAAUACCGGAUAGGAGCUCCUGCUGCAUGGUGGGGGUUGGAAAGUUUCGGCGGUUGGGGAUGGACUCGCGGCUUAUCAGCUUGUUGGUGGGGUAGUGGCUUACCAAGGCUUUGACGGGUAGCCGGCCUGAGAGGGUGACCGGCCACAUAGGGACUGAGAGACGGCCCAGACUCCUACGGGAGGCAGCAGUGGGGAAUAUUGCACAAUGGGCGGAAGCCUGAUGCAGCAACGCCGCGUGCGGGAUGACGGCCUUCGGGUUGUAAACCGCUUUCGCCUGUGACGAAGCGUGAGUGACGGUAAUGGGUAAAGAAGCACCGGCUAACUACGUG
This 468-nucleotide ribosomal RNA is filed under the name uncultured bacterium. Its description in RNAcentral is "partial 16S ribosomal RNA". It matches the Rfam family "Bacterial small subunit ribosomal RNA", at positions 28 to 507 of the family's 1533-position model. The record is from RNAcentral.